GACGAACGCUGGCGGCGUGCUUAACACAUGCAAGUCGAACGGAAAGGCCCUGCUUUUGUGGGGUGCUCGAGUGGCGAACGGGCGAGUAACACGUGAGUAACCUGCCCUUGACUUUGGGAUAACUUCAGGAAACUGGGGCUAAUACCGGAUAGGAGCUCCUGCUGCAUGGUGGGGGUUGGAAAGUUUCGGCGGUUGGGGAUGGACUCGCGGCUUAUCAGCUUGUUAGUGGGGUAGUGGCUUACCAAGGCUUUGACGGGUAGCCGGCCUGAGAGGGUGACCGGCCACAUUGGGACUGAGAUACGGCCCAGACUCCUACGGGAGGCAGCAGUGGGGAAUAUUGCACAAUGGGCGGAAGCCUGAUGCAGCAACGCCGCGUGCGGGAUGACGGCCUUCGGGUUGUAAACCGCUUUCGCCUGUGACGAAGCGUGAGUGACGGUAAUGGGUAAAGAAGCACCGGCUAACUACGUG
Molecule: ribosomal RNA, 468 nt
Filed under: uncultured bacterium
Lineage: Bacteria
Description: partial 16S ribosomal RNA
Rfam family: Bacterial small subunit ribosomal RNA
Source: RNAcentral